Molecule: small nucleolar RNA, 105 nt
Filed under: Gossypium arboreum
Lineage: Eukaryota; Viridiplantae; Streptophyta; Magnoliopsida; Malvales; Malvaceae
Description: Plant small nucleolar RNA R71
Rfam family: Plant small nucleolar RNA R71
About the family: R71 is a member of the C/D box family of snoRNAs containing the C (UGAUGA) and D (CUGA) box motifs. Multiple nearly identical copies of this snoRNA have been identified in Arabidopsis, and it is thought to function as a 2'-O-ribose methylation guide for 18S ribosomal RNA.
Source: Rfam by way of RNAcentral
AAUCCAUGGUGAGGACACCUUCGCAGUAGGCCCUUGUAUCUCUCCCAUGCAUUAUAAAGAGUUUCUAAGCUAUCUGCACAAAUGAAGAGAUAUUAUUACGUAAUU